GCUUGUCUCAAAGAUUAAGCCAUGCAUGUCUAAGUAUAAACAACUUUGUACUGUGAAACUGCGAAUGGCUCAUUAUAUCAGUUAUAGUUUAUUUGAUGGUUCUUACUACAUGGAUAACUGUAGUAAUUCUAGAGCUAAUACAUGCGUCAGAACCCAACUUUACGGAAGGGUCGUGUUUAUUAGAUACAAAACCAACAUCUCGUUGGUGAUUCAUAAUAACCAAGCGAAUCGUCGGUUUACCGACGAUAGAUCGUUCAAGUUUCUGACCUAUCAGCUUUGGUCGGUAGGGUAUUGGCCUACCGAGGCAAUGACGGGUAACGGAGAAUUAGGGUUCGAUUCCGGAGAGGGAGCCUGAGAAACGGCUACCACAUCUAAGGAAGGCAGCAGG
Molecule: ribosomal RNA, 388 nt
Filed under: uncultured Prorocentrum
Lineage: Eukaryota; Dinophyceae; Prorocentrales; Prorocentraceae
Description: partial small subunit ribosomal RNA
Rfam family: Eukaryotic small subunit ribosomal RNA
Source: RNAcentral